Molecule: non-coding RNA, 32 nt
Filed under: Mus musculus (house mouse)
Lineage: Eukaryota; Metazoa; Chordata; Mammalia; Rodentia; Muridae
Source: RNAcentral
UCAAAGAUGCUUCUAUGUGGUCCACUUCUCUU